This 472-nucleotide unclassified non-coding RNA is filed under the name Beauveria sp. OTU_082. RNAcentral describes it as "sequence contains ITS1, 5.8S rRNA gene and ITS2". The stretch from base 163 to 316 matches the Rfam family "5.8S ribosomal RNA". Lineage: Eukaryota; Fungi; Ascomycota; Sordariomycetes; Hypocreales; Cordycipitaceae. The record is from RNAcentral.
CCGAGUUUUCAACUCCCAAACCCUUAUGUGAACCUACCUAUCGUUGCUUCGGCGGACUCGCCCCAGCCGGACGCGGACUGGACCAGCGGCCGCCGGGGACCAUCAAACUCUUGUAUUAUCAGCAUCUUCUGAAUACGCCGCAAGGCAAAACAAAUAAAUUAAAACUUUCAACAACGGAUCUCUUGGCUCUGGCAUCGAUGAAGAACGCAGCGAAAUGCGAUAAGUAAUGUGAAUUGCAGAAUCCAGUGAAUCAUCGAAUCUUUGAACGCACAUUGCGCCCGCCAGCAUUCUGGCGGGCAUGCCUGUUCGAGCGUCAUUUCAACCCUCGACCUCCCUUUGGGGAAGUCGGCGUUGGGGACCGGCAGCACACCGCCGGCCCUGAAAUGGAGUGGCGGCCCGUCCGCGGCGACCUCUGCGUAGUAAACCAACUCGCACCGGAACCCCGACGUGGCCACGCCGUAAAACACCCAAC